CGAAGGCGGUAACAUCAAUGGUCGUAGUGAUAACGAAUAAUACCAGCAGCAUGGAUAGUAACGGUUGUGGUAGUCGUGAGGAACAGUAAGAACGUUGUUGUUACUGUCUGUCGGUAGCGAUGUGUUCAAGAACUUCUCUGUUUCUUCAGAAUCGGACGUUGCUUAUUUAGCGGAACCCAACACUUGAGAUGGAGAAUGGUUAAAUUAUAGUGGCAAGAGCAGCAGUAGCAGAAGCACCACCACCACCAUCAACAACAAGUGAAAGAGAGAGAGAGCAUUUUUAUUCGAAUUUUGCUAUCGAAGUUAGGAAAAGUUGGUGGAAAAAAAAAGUUAGGCAAUUACCAAAAGUUAGAGAAUUAAAUUUGAAGCACAACAACAUGAUGAUGAUGAUAUGAUGAUGACGAUGGGGAUGCUGACGAAGACGACGACGAUAAUGAUGAUGAUGAUGACGGUGAUAACUUAAGAAGUUGGAACAGAAAACUUUUCCACGCGAAGUUUUAAGGGAGACCACGUCGAGAUAUGUGGAAACUGUUGAAAGAAACUACUAGAUUCUGGAUUAUUUCCUAACAAAAGAAACUCGAUUUUACUUACACACUUACUUCUUCUUCCUCUUCUUCUUCUCACUACUACUACUACUGAAAACUUUGACCUAAAUUAUUUAAAGUUUAAGGGACAAUUACACACAUUAUCAUAUGUUCUUUCAAAUUUAUAGUUUUCAUAUUUUCUCUUUAAUUUGAAAAUAAGAUAAAACUCUUUCGAAAAUUUCAAUUAAGAAUUUCGUUGCGUACUGCAUUCAAAGUACAUCUCUUUAAAAGUACAAAAGGGAACUUUGUUUUUAUCCACGGACCUACCGAAAUACAAUGUGAUGUGAAGUCGUAUGAACUGGAAAAUUACAAGGCUUUCUUAUAAAUAGUGAAAUUAGCUUCCAAAAAUUCAUCUUGGAUUUGAUAAACUUUUCUAAUUUAAAUAUCUACAAAAAGAAAAUCAAAUAAAAUGGUAUAGAAUUAAUAAAUAUCGUUUCCCUUCUGUAUAUAUUGGUAAAGAAGGAAGUUGUAUUAAUUUAAAUGAUUGUCAAUAAAAGUUAUUUUUGUGUGUGUGUGUGUCUGUAAAAAAAAACUGUUAUAAACUCAAAUACAUUUAUUACAACACACGACAAAAAUAACAGUUGGAAAAGAUAAUAUCUUUUUUUUUUCAUUAAUUCCGACCAACUUCAAAAACACCGAAAAAGUACAAAAAUAAAAAAUAAAAAAGGAAAAGAAGAGAAAAGAACUUUUAAAACCUCUUCCGGUUUAUUUAUGAACUUUGAGGAUUUCAGUUGCUCCCUUACUACUUUCUUUCUACCCGACUUAGCUUUCAGCUAUACGGGUAUCAUGCAGUUUGAUCUGAAGUCAGAUAUCGAGAUAUGAUGAACGGGUUGAUAGUUUUCGAAGUUAUCUUGUUAUCAUGUGUAGUGGUUUCCCUGAUGACCCCUACUUCUGUCCCACCUGACUGUACGUUUCGCGUCGACGCAUGCGAACCUUUGAAAAGCAAUGUUUGUUUAGGGGCCCAAGUUGACUUCACUCAUACAUCAACCGUAUUUCUGAGAAACGGCGAUAACGACAGUUCGACCGUGACACAAGAAGAGAUUCAACAGAAGUUACAACUAUGGAAGGGACUCCAGAAUUUCCACAAGUGUUGGUCGGUGGUCCAGCAUCUCUUGUGUUCGGUCUAUGUACCGAAAUGCGAUCCGAACACGUCUAAAGUUGAAUAUCCCAGUCGCGAGUGGUGCCAAAGCGCCGAAAAACAAUGUAGAAUUGUAGAGACUUUUAACAAGAAUCAGGGAUGGCCAUCCUUCCUACGAUGUCAGGCCAAUCACUUUAAGGAAUCGUGUAAGAAUACUGGUUACCAGAAAGUGACCUUCAACAGUACGGGUGUGUGCAGUUGGCCCCUCAUAAAUACCAAUAACUCUGCCACUUGGUACGGCGACAUAGAAGGCUGUGGUCUGCAAUGCAAGAACCCGCUCUACACAGACAGGCAACACAACCAGGUCCACGUCUUCAUUGCUGUUCUGGGGACCCUUUCGUUGUUGUCUUCUUUGUUCACCGUGCUAACCUUCCUGAUCGACUGGAAGAAUGCCAGCCGCUAUCCUGCCCUCAUCCUGUUUUUCAUUAACAUCUGCUUUGUGAUGGGCAGCAUUGGAUGGUUGGCCCAGUUUGCUGGAAAUGCUCGAGAGGAUAUCGUAUGUAAUGCUGAUAAAACUGUACGGAUUGGUGAACCGCAACCAGGUUCUGGUGAGAGUGCUUCCUGCAGCAUCAUAUUCCUCCUCAUCUACUAUUUCACAAUGGCUGGCGUUGUCUGGUUUGUCAUGCUCUCCUACGCCUGGCACACAACAUUCAAGGCCCUUGGUACACCCCGUGACAUACUCAGUGGUAAAACUGCCUAUUUCCACAUCAUUUCGUGGUGUGUCCCUUUGGUGCUCUCCAUCACCUGCCUUGCAUCUUCAGAAAUCGAUGGUGAUUAUAUAUCUGGUAUAUGUUUCGUUGGCUAUGUCAACCGUGGAGUACGUGCUGGAUUUGUUCUUGUACCAAUUGCCAUAGUCCUUAUCUUAGGACUCAAUUUUAUGGUCAGAAGUUUAUGUACUCUAAUCAGCGUGAAGAAGGAGACACCGGACUUUAUUGGAGACAAAGCCACUGCCAAGAUCCAGGAGACAAUCAUUAGAAUUGGAAUGUUCUCCGGUCUUGCAGUGCUGUUCGUCUGUGUCACCUUUGCUGUCCAUACGUAUAUAUUUGUCUGGGAGGAAGACUGGCGGAAGAAUCUCAAGAAUUAUGUCAUGUGUAAAGUGGAAGCAACGGUGACCAACAUGACUACAUCAGUUUGUGACUCGCUGUUUGAGAACAAACUCAGCCUCGUCGCUACGGAGAUUCACAUCUUCUCAUUCUUCGGUGCCGGAAUAGUCAUGAGUUCCUGGUCUUGGAAUAAAGCAUCUCUUUCUGCCUGGGAACGAUUCCUACGCAAAGUAUUCCGUAAACCAUCCAGUCGUACGGUGAAGCUGAAACGGCACAAAAUGAUUGCUAAAGCAUUUGCUAAGAGGAAGGAAAUAAACAGUGGUCGCUUUUCCAUCAGUUUCUACAGCACCCAUGAUGACCCCUUAGGGAUGAAGUUUGAUUUAAAUAGUGUCAGCUCCGGAGAUGUUUCUUCUGAGUUUGCUGCCAACAUGCCAAAAUUGGUUCGAAGACGUGGAGGUAUGUUUCAGCCCAUGGCCGGAACCCUGAGGAGAUAUUCGGACUCUGAUGUCGCAUCAGUGACGUCACGGAUAUUUUCCAUGGAAAACAGUGAUGGGGAGAAAAUAGAUGAUGGGAACGAUCAAAAACUGAAGAAGAAAAAGAAGAAGAAGAAACGUUUUUCUAACAACCGUGUCAAACCUCAGUUGACCCCUUUGGUUUUAGCCAUGCAGAAAGGGGCACAGGAGUUCCUUCGGAGCAGUAAAAGACACAAGCGUCGUGGUAGUGAUACGUCUGGUAUCAGUCGGGCUUCGGCUCAGAGCAUCCAUUUCUCUCUCGACCGAAACAGCAGCGCUGAUGCUCUGUCUAUUUCUUCGAUGAAACCAAAUUCGGAAUUGAACAUUCAUAAAAUCCACAAGACAGAAACAAAAUCUAAAAGAGUGACAAACUUUGCUAUUUUCACAGCGAAUUCUUUAUUGCCGGGAUCUGUACAAGACAACGAUGGCCCACAAGGGACGAAUUUAGCCAUGGGAGACAUGACCGCCGGUCAUUCAUCCUGUACGCAGUGUGGUGCCCAAAGUGUUUUCCCACCUGAAAUUGCCAUUUUUAACAUAGAAGACGAAACUUCAUCAACCACUUCUUCUUCUUGCUGAUUCCUGCCAAAACUCCAAUUUCACCAAAGACAUUUCUAUCAGUUCCCAGAUAACAUUGCAUCUUUUGAGACGUCCUACAAACAGAGGGUACUUGAGUUUCAUUUCUCAAGUCCCUCGUAAGGACUGGAGGUUGACGUCUCUUAUUUUUUUUUUGUCUCCAGUUCUGACUUGCCAUUUACCCUUUU
This 4038-nucleotide unclassified non-coding RNA is filed under the name Octopus sinensis (East Asian common octopus). Its description in RNAcentral is "smoothened homolog, transcript variant X3". The record is from RNAcentral. Lineage: Eukaryota; Metazoa; Mollusca; Cephalopoda; Octopoda; Octopodidae.